This 403-nucleotide ribosomal RNA is filed under the name Fusobacteriota bacterium. Its description in RNAcentral is "Fusobacteria bacterium partial 16S ribosomal RNA". It matches the Rfam family "Bacterial small subunit ribosomal RNA", at positions 355 to 776 of the family's 1533-position model. The record is from RNAcentral. Lineage: Bacteria; Fusobacteriati; Fusobacteriota.
UGGGGAAUCUUGCACAAUGGGGGAAACCCUGAUGCAGCGACGCCGCGUGAGCGAUGAAGGUUUUCGAAUCGUAAAGCUCUGUCCUAUGGGAAGAUAAUGACGGUACCAUGGGAGGAAGCCCCGGCUAACUACGUGCCAGCAGCCGCGGUAAUACGUAGGGGGCGAGCGUUGUCCGGAAUUACUGGGCGUAAAGGGUUCGAAGGCGGCAUGGCAAGUCCGAUGUAAAAGGCGAAGGCUCAACCUUCGUAAGCAUCGGAAACUGUCAAGCUUGAGUGAAGGAGAGGCAAGUGGAAUUCCUAGUGUAGCGGUGGAAUGCGUAGAUAUUAGGAGGAAUACCGGUGGCGAAGGCGACUUGCUGGACUUCAACUGACGCUGAGGAACGAAAGCGUGGGUAGCAAACAGG